CCUACGGGAGGCAGCAGUCGGGAAUAUUGGACAAUGGGCGAAAGCCUGAUCCAGCAAUACCGCGUGUGUGAAGAAGGCCUGCGGGUUGUAAAGCACUUUCGCUAGGGAAGAUAAUGACGGUACCUAGAUAAGAAGCACCGACUAACUCCGUGCCAGCAGCCGCGGUAAUACGGAGGGUGCAAGCGUUAAUCGGAAUUACUGGGCGUAAAGCGCGCGUAGGCGGCUUGUUAAGUCAGAUGUGAAAGCCCCGGGCUCAACCUGGGAACUGCAUCUGAUACUGGCAGGCUAGAGUUUGUGAGAGGGAAGUGGAAUUUCCGGUGUAGCGGUGAAAUGCAUAGAGAUCGGAAGGAACAUCAGUGGCGAAGGCGACUUCCUGGCACAAAACUGACGCUGAGGUGCGAAAGCGUGGGUAGCAAACAGGAUUAGAUACCCUGGUAGUCCACGCCGUAAACGAUGUCAACUAGCCGUUGGGAACAUUUAAGUUUUCAGUGGUGCAGCUAACGCAUUAAGUUGACCGCCUGGGGAGUACGGUCGCAAGACUAAAACUCAAAGGAAUUGACGGGG
RNAcentral lists this ribosomal RNA (564 nucleotides) under uncultured bacterium. RNAcentral's name for it is "bacterial SSU rRNA". It matches the Rfam family "Bacterial small subunit ribosomal RNA", at positions 338 to 918 of the family's 1533-position model. The record is from RNAcentral.